Molecule: long non-coding RNA, 1703 nt
Organism: Maniola jurtina (meadow brown)
Lineage: Eukaryota; Metazoa; Arthropoda; Insecta; Lepidoptera; Nymphalidae
Exons: 2
Source: RefSeq, a predicted model, not a curated record
CAAACAAAAUAAUUUUCAAUAAUUAAUAUAAUAAUUUUAUUUUUACUUACUACCUAUAUAAUAUAAAAUAUUAUUAUUAAAAGGAUUAAUAUAACUUGUUUUCUUAUUCAUAAAAAGUACACAGCCAUUUUUGAUAUUACAAAAAGCUAUUUCAUGUUCAGUACUUAUCGUCAUACAAAACAUAAUUACAUAAACAUUUUGUCAAACUAUUCAUAAAAAAAUUAAUACUAUAGGAGUAACGUAUUAAAUAGAAUCAACAUUCACUAUUAUUUUAUAAACGAGUUAGUCGAGAAAACUAAAUAUUGUUGCUUAUUCAGUUGGUGUAUAAAAUAAAUUAUAAUAAUAAAAUUAUGUAAUAGUUUAAGGCCCACUUACAUAAGGACAGAUAAACUGAUUUAGUUAAAGUUUGUGAUUCUAUCUCUUUUUGGUAAGAGCAUAAUGCAAUUACCAAAGUGACAGCAUUUAAGUGUCCUUAUACAAAUGGACCUUAGACUCAAUUUAGUUUUAUUCUAGGUAGUAAUGCACUAGUAUUUAUUUUGCGGUAAUACUAGGAGUAUUUAAAUAAGAUACAGAAGAAAUGGUGUAUUUAGGGUAUAAUAAUUGGUUUAAAAACUAAACUAAAUCCUUUUAAGGUUUAGUUUAGUUAGGAAUCUUAGGCUGAGAUCUGUAGAGGGUACUUUGACUUUCCUCAGACAUAAGUUUCAGUUGAAACGAGACAGAUAUGCUAGCGAUAUAACGCUCUCUCGUUUUAACAGUGUCUUAAGUCUGAGCCAAGUCAAAGUUCGCUUUAUAGUUUUCAGCCUCAAAAGCUAAAGCAACAUAUUAUUUACAUAUAUUUCACAAAUCAUCAUCAUCAUUAUCUUCAGUCCUCUACCUUUAAAAGCCAUAACUCUAAUAUCCACCACGCUGGUCAGUUGCAAUUUGGUAGACUUGAAGGUUUCCUAAAAAUGUUUUUCUUCAUCGUUAAAGCAAGUAGUAUAUAAUUGCUUGACUGAUUCAUGAACCCUAGGAAGGAUUCCUAAAUAGGAAGCCGAUGUCUUACGGUGGCUGGUUACCGGCUAAAAUUAAAAUCAAUCAUCUGUAAUCUGUCGAUAAGUUACUUAGCAAUGUUGUUAUUCGUCAAAAGUCUUUUUAACAAACAACAGCGUUGCUAAGUAACUUACCGACAAGUUAAAGAUAGAUUGAGCAUUAAUUUUGGCCGUUAACCAGUAGGCUACACCGCUUUACAUGAUUAACUAAAUCUAUUUAAAACUAAAUUUUGAUCCAUCACAUAUUAUGCCAACACCUUUAAUCAAGACUUAGUCCAGAAAAUACUAAAUAUUUUGUACUCAAAGUACCAAUAAAACGAAACAACAGUCACUAUAAAUGCAUAAACAAUUUUUUUUACUUAAUAUUUAAGUAAAGUUGAAUAAAUUUUUCUAUGGCAAUGUGUCUGUAAUUUUUAAAAUACCUACUAUAUUAUUAUUUACAAUUUUACUACAUAACAAUAUCAAUAAAAAUAACAAUGAAAAUGAAUCUUAGAUUUCAUCAAAAUUAUGAGACAAAAUUUUGGUAACAAAAGUUUCACUCUUAAAUUUUCUUAUUAGACUGAAAUUAAUUAAUCAAAAAUAUGUCAAUUAGUAAUAAAAAAAUUACAAUAAUGUCCUGAUAAAUCUAUGCUGUAUGUUGUUAAUUUUCUCUAUGAAUUAUUUUUAUUAUUAUUA